UUCACUGCGAAUACGUCACAUCUCGACGAGGCAACCAGCAACUUUGCGUGGAUGGCUACACAUUCUUUCCAAAAAGAAUUCACGGACCGAGGAUAAAUACAAGCAUUCCUUCGUAAUGAGUCGACAUGGGAAUAGGCUUCUUCAAGUAGAUGGCUACACGUUCUACCCUCGAAAGAACAAGAAGUUGAAAAAAAGAUGGAGAUGCGCGACGCACCUCAACAAAGGAUGCAGUGAAAGUUACGUUAUUACCGUUAAUGACAUAAUUAUAGAUAUUAACAAUGAACACAUUCAUGAAAGAGACGGGAGGCCCAAAGUUGAUUUCCCCAAGUACUACUAA
Pectinophora gossypiella (pink bollworm) is the source of this 337-nucleotide long non-coding RNA. RefSeq lists it as uncharacterized. The transcript has 2 exons. The record is from RefSeq and is a predicted model, not a curated record. Lineage: Eukaryota; Metazoa; Arthropoda; Insecta; Lepidoptera; Gelechiidae.